GAUUAGUGGCGACGGGUGAGUAACACGUGGGCAAUCUGCCCUUCACUCUGGGACAAGCCCUGGAAACGGGGUCUAAUACCGGAUACGAGCCGGGGAGGCAUCUCCCGGGCUGGAAAGCUCCGGCGGUGAAGGAUGAGCCCGCGGCCUAUCAGCUUGUUGGUGGGGUAAUGGCCUACCAAGGCGACGACGGGUAGCCGGCCUGAGAGGGCGACCGGCCACACUGGGACUGAGACACGGCCCAGACUCCUACGGGAGGCAGCAGUGGGGAAUAUUGCACAAUGGGCGAAAGCCUGAUGCAGCGACGCCGCGUGAGGGAUGACGGCCUUCGGGUUGUAAACCUCUUUCAGCAGGGAAGAAGCGAGAGUGACGGUACCUGCAGAAGAAGCGCCGGCUAACUACGUGCCAGCAGCCGCGGUAAUACGUAGGGCGCAAGCGUUGUCCGGAAUUAUUGGGCGUAAAGAGCUCGUAGGCGGCUUGUCACGUCGGGUGUGAAAGCCCGGGGCUUAACCCCGGGUCUGCAUCCGAUACGGGCAGGCUAGAGUGUGGUAGGGGAGAUCGGAAUUCCUGGUGUAGCGGUGAAAUGCGCAGAUAUCAGGAGGAACACCGGUGGCGAAGGCGGAUCUCUGGGCCAUUACUGACGCUGAGGAGCGAAAGCGUGGGGAGCGAACAGGAUUAGAUACCCUGGUAGUCCACGCCGUAAACGUUGGGAACUAGGUGUUGGCGACAUUCCACGUCGUCGGUGCCGCAGCUAACGCAUUAAGUUCCCCGCCUGGGGAGUACGGCCGCAAGGCUAAAACUCAAAGGAAUUGACGGG
Molecule: ribosomal RNA, 814 nt
Filed under: Streptomyces sp.
Lineage: Bacteria; Bacillati; Actinomycetota; Actinomycetes; Kitasatosporales; Streptomycetaceae
Description: bacterial SSU rRNA
Rfam family: Bacterial small subunit ribosomal RNA
Source: RNAcentral